GCCCCAGUCGCUUAACGGUAAAGCCCCUGAUUCCAAAUCAGGCGCCGGCAGUUCGAUUCUGUCCUGGGGUGCCA
RNAcentral lists this transfer RNA (74 nucleotides) under Gammaproteobacteria bacterium. RNAcentral's name for it is "tRNA-Trp". It matches the Rfam family "tRNA". From Rfam's summary of the family: Transfer RNA (tRNA) molecules are approximately 80 nucleotides in length. Lineage: Bacteria; Pseudomonadati; Pseudomonadota; Gammaproteobacteria. The record is from RNAcentral.